GGAGGACUGGCUGCCUUGCAGGCGGAGGGCAGCAAGCACCCUGGACCGAGCAGUGCUGCAGGAAGAGACCCAGAUUGCUAAAGGCAGCUCCUGGUAGGCUGCAGGGAUCUGCAGGCUGAGGCCUUGAUGCAAGGGCAAAGAGGGUGCUGGAGCCACUGAAGGAAGUGGCUAGACAGUGGACUGCAGUUUGCCAUUGAAGGGAGUGGCCGGACAGUGGCCUGCAGGUCCCCCUAGAAGGGGGGGUGGGGGGACACAGAGUGUGGCACGGCCAGAGUCACUGAAGAGGAUGCUGUGGUCCUGGGAGUGACAUGGGUCCAGGAACAGAGGUGACAGUGGGCGAGACUCCACCAGAAGAGGGUGCAGUGCUAAUUCCCCGGACAGCCAGCAGGAGGUGCCACAGUGCUUGAUGUUCCAGCAAUUCACAUAACAACAAUUUUAAGAAGGUGGUGCAUAUUUGGAAGUUUGGAAGCCACAGUCCGUGCCUCAAGGGAUUUAUCCCUACAGCAGCAAAAUGGAGUGAACUGCAAAUUUCAAGAUUAAAAAGGCAACAGUUUCUGGGGAUUGUCCUGCCUGAAAUUCCACAGACGGGUGUAUUAUUUAGAGGUGUUGAAACCCCACCACCAC
Mauremys reevesii (Reeves's turtle) is the source of this 624-nucleotide long non-coding RNA. RefSeq lists it as uncharacterized. The record is from RefSeq and is a predicted model, not a curated record. The transcript has 3 exons. Lineage: Eukaryota; Metazoa; Chordata; Testudines; Geoemydidae.